Molecule: ribosomal RNA, 484 nt
Filed under: uncultured bacterium
Lineage: Bacteria
Description: partial 16S ribosomal RNA
Rfam family: Bacterial small subunit ribosomal RNA
Source: RNAcentral
AUUGAACGCUGGCGGCAGGCCUAACACAUGCAAGUCGAGCGGAUGAAGCGAGCUUGCUCCUGGAUUCAGCGGCGGACGGGUGAGUAAUGCCUAGGAAUCUGCCUGGUAGUGCGGGAUAAAGUCUGGAAACGGGCGCUAAUAACGCGUACGUCCUGAGCGAGAAAGUGGGGGAUCUUCGGACCUUUCGCUCUCAGAUGAGCCUACGUCGGAUUAGCUAGUUGGUGGGGUAAAGGCCUACCACGGCGACGAUCCGUAACUGAUCUGAGAGGAUGAUCAGUCGCACGGGAACGUGAACACGCACCAUGCGCCUGCGGGAGGCAGCAGUGGGGAAUAGGAGGCAAUGGUCGGGAAUCUUAUCCAACGAGGCCGCGUGUGUGAAAGAGGUCUUCGGAUUGUGAAGCACGUUAUGGUGGUGUAAAGGGCAGUAAGUUAGGACCUUGCUGUUUUGACGUUACCAACAGAAGAAGCACCGGCUAACUACGUG